RNAcentral lists this ribosomal RNA (464 nucleotides) under uncultured bacterium. RNAcentral describes it as "partial 16S ribosomal RNA". It matches the Rfam family "Bacterial small subunit ribosomal RNA", at positions 338 to 795 of the family's 1533-position model. The record is from RNAcentral.
CCUACGGGGGGCUGCAGUAGGGAAUUUUCGUCAAUGGGCGCAAGCCUGAACGAGCAAUGCCGCGUGAACGAGGAAGGUCUUCGGAUCGUAAAGUUCUGUUGAAGGGGACAAAGAGCGGAGAGAGGAAAUGGUCUCCGAUUGAUAUUACCCUUCGAGGAAGUCACGGCUAACUACGUGCCAGCAGCCGCGGUAAUACGUAGGUGGCGAGCGUUAUCCGGAAUGAUGGGGCGUAAAGGGUGCGUAGGCGGCCUGCUAAGUCUGGAGUGAAAGGUACCGGCUCAACCGGUACAGGCUCUGGAAACUGGCGGGCUAGAGAGCAGGAGAGGGCGGUGGAACUCCAUGUGUAGCGGUAAAAUGCGUAGAUAUAUGGAAGAACACCAGUGGCGAAGGCGGCCGCCUGGCCUGUUACUGACGCUGAGGCACGAAGGCCAGGGGAGCGAAAGGGAUUAGAUACCCGGGUAGUC